This 691-nucleotide ribosomal RNA is filed under the name Pseudomonas aeruginosa. Its description in RNAcentral is "bacterial SSU rRNA". It matches the Rfam family "Bacterial small subunit ribosomal RNA", at positions 1 to 687 of the family's 1533-position model. Lineage: Bacteria; Pseudomonadati; Pseudomonadota; Gammaproteobacteria; Pseudomonadales; Pseudomonadaceae. The record is from RNAcentral.
GAACUGAAGAGUUUGAUCAUGGCUCAGAUUGAACGCUGGCGGCAGGCCUAACACAUGCAAGUCGAGCGGAUGAAGGGAGCUUGCUCCUGGAUUCAGCGGCGGACGGGUGAGUAAUGCCUAGGAAUCUGCCUGGUAGUGGGGGAUAACGUCCGGAAACGGGCGCUAAUACCGCAUACGUCCUGAGGGAGAAAGUGGGGGAUCUUCGGACCUCACGCUAUCAGAUGAGCCUAGGUCGGAUUAGCUAGUUGGUGGGGUAAAGGCCUACCAAGGCGACGAUCCGUAACUGGUCUGAGAGGAUGAUCAGUCACACUGGAACUGAGACACGGUCCAGACUCCUACGGGAGGCAGCAGUGGGGAAUAUUGGACAAUGGGCGAAAGCCUGAUCCAGCCAUGCCGCGUGUGUGAAGAAGGUCUUCGGAUUGUAAAGCACUUUAAGUUGGGAGGAAGGGCAGUAAGUUAAUACCUUGCUGUUUUGACGUUACCAACAGAAUAAGCACCGGCUAACUUCGUGCCAGCAGCCGCGGUAAUACGAAGGGUGCAAGCGUUAAUCGGAAUUACUGGGCGUAAAGCGCGCGUAGGUGGUUCAGCAAGUUGGAUGUGAAAUCCCCGGGCUCAACCUGGGAACUGCAUCCAAAACUACUGAGCUAGAGUACGGUAGAGGGUGGUGGAAUUUCCUGUGUAGCGGUGAAAU